Non-coding RNA from Aegilops tauschii subsp. strangulata, 772 nucleotides. The record is from RefSeq and is a predicted model, not a curated record. Lineage: Eukaryota; Viridiplantae; Streptophyta; Magnoliopsida; Poales; Poaceae.
UCUUGUACUAGUAAACAUCACUUGUGUUCAUGCCAUAUAUCAGCCAGAGCAUGUACUUGCAAUCUUGUACAGGGAAUGGAUACAGGGGAGAUGCCACUCUGCUCUCUCAAUUGUCCUGCUGUAAGCCUAUCUCUGUGAUGAGCAGUGGUUUUGACCCUGGAGGUUUUUGAGAAGAAACAGGGGUUUUGUUUAUCUUUUGUGGCAUUCCAGGCAAAUUACUGUCCCCUCACGGAUGUGUACAGGCGAAUCCUACUCUAAAGUGUGUUCCUGGAGCUUCUCUGUGAUCAGUCGUUGUUUUCUUGGUCCAUUGGUCAUUGUUGGGCAUAGAAACACCUGAUGUCAUCCAUCUUCUGGAAGGCUCUGAUGUGUUAAUGCCUACGCCUGGGAAUAGUUUGAAAUCAAGUAGUACUGCCUGUCAAUGGCUGCCUGCAGGCCAAAAUGUGUAGUGCCUUUACCUGUGGAACUGUACUCUAGCAGGGUUGAUGGAUGAAAAGUGAAAUGAAGUUCUACUGGACAUGAAUACGAUGUUAAGUGUUAGUGCUGUCUGGAAGAGUGAAAGUAACCGUGCUACUGGACAUGAGUGGUGAACUGCAAAGCUGGUAGUGUGAGUCUGAAACCUAUGAGUGAAGCUUUUUUCUUUCGAAAAGGGGAUAUCCCCGGCCUCUGCAUCAGAGCGAUGCAUACGGCCACCUUUAUUACCAAGCAAAACAGUUCGACAGAGGUCUCAAAGUCUCAAACAAAGAAGAACAAAAAGUGCUCACAAAGAGCUAAA